UUAGUCAACGAGAAUU
This 16-nucleotide small RNA is filed under the name Arabidopsis thaliana (thale cress). RNAcentral's name for it is "ATSL136900". The record is from RNAcentral. Lineage: Eukaryota; Viridiplantae; Streptophyta; Magnoliopsida; Brassicales; Brassicaceae.